This is an RNA transcript of Hermetia illucens (black soldier fly), 519 nucleotides long. RefSeq lists it as uncharacterized. The transcript is spliced from 3 exons. NCBI's taxonomy places the organism in Eukaryota, Metazoa, Arthropoda, Insecta, Diptera, Stratiomyidae. The record is from RefSeq and is a predicted model, not a curated record.
UAAAAACAUUUCCGAGUAUCUAUACGUUGUGCUGUUUUUUAUUUCUUCUGAAUUCUGCACAGGUUAAGUAGUUUUCGCUCUAAUGGUGAAUGAAAUGGUGAUGUAGGACUCGAUUGAUUUAAAUUUACAAUACUAUCCCUGAAAAACCAGAAAGUUGCUUACUGGAUCGAGAUGAUAUAGUUGAGGGCGAGGAGCUACUUAAAGUUUUGGAAUUGGCUAAAAAAAUAUUGAAUCGCCCGAACUUACGGAGGGAAGAUGUCUUCUGUGCGAGUGCACUUGCAGAAAUAGUUUAUGUAAUUCAGUUCAAACAAUCAGAAAACGGACAAUGUAGACAAGAGUUCUGGGUGAGACCAAAAGGCAACAAAAUACUUCCUAUGGAGUGCAGUGAUAGUUGACGCUAGCCUGAGUGUAAAGGGUUCCUUACAAACACUCCAACAUGUUCAACAUUCAAAAUAUCUGACCGUUUUAUUUUGUGAAGCCAGACUGCAUAUCCUAAAUAAACUGUUCUCUCGAAAUCCA